This 468-nucleotide ribosomal RNA is filed under the name uncultured bacterium. RNAcentral describes it as "partial 16S ribosomal RNA". It matches the Rfam family "Bacterial small subunit ribosomal RNA", at positions 28 to 507 of the family's 1533-position model. The record is from RNAcentral.
GACGAACGCUGGCGGCGUGCUUAACACAUGCAAGUCGAACGGCAAGGCCCUGCUUUUGUGGGGUGCUCGAGUGGCGAACGUGUGAGUAACACGUGAGUAACCUGCCCUUUACUUUGGGAUAACUUCAGGAAACUGUGGCUAAUACCGGAUAGGAGCUCCUGCUGCCUGGUGGGGGUUGGACCGUUUCGGCGGUUGGGGAUGGACUCGCGGCUUAUCAGCUUGUUGGUGGGGUAGUGGCUUACCAAGGCUUUGACGGGUAGCCGGCAUGAGAGGGGGACCGGCCACAUGGGGACUGAGAUACGGCCCAGACUCCUACGGGAGGCAGCAGUGGGGAAUAUUGCACAAUGGGCGGAAGCCUGAUGCAGCAACGCCGCGUGCGGGAUGACGGCCUUCGGGUUGUAAAACGCUUUCGGCUGUGACGAAGCGUGAGUGACGGUAAUGGGUAAAGAAGCACCGGCUAACUACGUG